UACGUAGGGUGCAAGCGUUAAUCGGAAUUACUGGGCGUAAAGCGUGCGCAGGCGGUUGUGCAAGACAGAGGGGAAAUCCCCGGGCUUAACCUGGGAACUGCCUUUGUGACUGCACGGCUAGAGUGUGUCAGAGGGGGGUAGAAUUCCACGUGUAGCAGUGAAAUGCGUAGAUAUGCGGAGGAACACCGAUGGCGAAGGCAGUGGGCUGGGCCGGCACUGACGCUGAGGAGCGAAAGCGUGGGGAGCGAACAGG
This 253-nucleotide ribosomal RNA is filed under the name uncultured bacterium. Its description in RNAcentral is "partial 16S ribosomal RNA". It matches the Rfam family "Bacterial small subunit ribosomal RNA", at positions 524 to 776 of the family's 1533-position model. The record is from RNAcentral.